Molecule: transfer RNA, 68 nt
Filed under: Marmota monax (woodchuck)
Lineage: Eukaryota; Metazoa; Chordata; Mammalia; Rodentia; Sciuridae
Description: tRNA.Ala
Source: RNAcentral
GGAUUGUAGCUCAGUGGUAGAGUGCUUGCCUAGCACAUGUGAGGCACUGGGUUCUAUCCUCAGCACCA